Molecule: long non-coding RNA, 1623 nt
Organism: Ctenopharyngodon idella (grass carp)
Lineage: Eukaryota; Metazoa; Chordata; Actinopteri; Cypriniformes; Xenocyprididae
Exons: 3
Source: RefSeq, a predicted model, not a curated record
AACAAUAAGGAGAAACACUGAUGUAGUUGCCCUGGUGUGAGGGCGGGACAACCUGUCACUCACAUGUCAUCACAGCAAUAGCAAGCAACAACCAUCCAAUCAAUUCCUGAUGGACAAAAUCAAGUACAUUUUAGGGCUUUUCACACUUGAAAUAGUUCACUGUAAACGAAUGAAACGAAAUCCUGGGUUAUCUUUAUUCACGUUUCACACUGUUCAUACUAUACCCGGGGUUAACAGUUAAUCCUGGAUAUAAGCUACCGUUUUCCACUGCACAUACCUAAACCCUGGGAUAAAGUCCUUAUCUGCAUAUUCGCGGUGUCACUGACUGGACAAACGCAGCACGUGACCUGUUUACAUAAAGGCUCUAGCAUUGCGCGUCCUCAUACUAGGCUACACAUUGCUGACUGUAAUAUCAAGUUUUUUUUUCUGAGUGAACUUUUCGAGCUAUAAAGAGAUUGUCUACAUGGGUUCUCCUGGCUAUGGUUGACUGCCAGCUGGUAGCGGAUGACAGGUGGGUCCACAGUGGUGUCGAUAGUGCCCCUGCACUCGGCGUUAUUGCGCUCCCCGUUCAGGGCCAGGCCAUUGGGGUCAAAGCCUGCCCAAUCUGCGGUGCACAGGUUUACCUCCAGAAGGAUCAUGCUUGCGCCACAGUGUACCACCAGAUCAUUGUUGUCUAAACAAAAAGGAAGGUCUUAAUGUCAAGCAAACUGCAGAGAAUGGAGACUGUCUCACAUCUGGAAGGUCUCAGACUCACCUGGAACCCUGUUAUACACCGAGGAGCAGUUAUAGGCCGAGUGAACAGGCUGCAGAACGAGAGCCAGUGCACAUAAGCAAAGGCACAGCAUCAUUCCUGCUGUGGAACAAAGGCAGAACAUGACUAAAAAGUCACCUAUUUAAAAGUCGUCCAACAUCACAAUAACAAUGAAGGUCAAGGGGAAAAUGUCUGGAAAUAAAAAAGGACAAAAAAACAAACCACAAAGACGAAGAGGAAACAGGCUGUUGAAAAACUGUGUUUCCUUUCCUGACUGGCUUCCUAUUCCUGAGGAUAGUGUGUGUCUGACUGUGAGCUGGCAGGGUCAGCAGCAGUGACUGGGCUCCUUUGACUUGCAUAGAACAGGCAGUCACCCUCAUAAAAAGUCAUCUUACUUCCUCUGUCAGUUUGCUUGUGAGCCAAAUAAAACUGGUCCCUCUGCACAUGUCUCCGAACUGAUUUUUUAUGAAUUAGAAACUACAGUGAUUACACACCAGUGAUUGAUGCUUAUGCGCUAAAAGAUAAAGCACAUGCCACAUGGUUACUUAUCACUUAUCUCCUGCAACAUAUUUAACAUACAAAACUCAAAGCACUACAAAUUAAAAACAAUUUAGAAUUAAAAAAAAAAAAACCUAGCAUAUGACCGCUCUGAAGCAAGGGAGUCGUGUAACAUUAGCAACACAUUAUUAGCUGUUUGAUAACGUAGUCGGGCAAAAGGCUAAUCAUAUUAAUUACUGUUAUGUGUCCGACGUUGUAAAAAAACAAAAUCAUUGUGCAGCAUUGACCUCACUAAGUUGACCGAGUGGAUCUCUGAGUGAGUGGAGGCGGGGCUAAUUAGCAUAUUCAUCCGCUAAGACCUUAUGCGCCAGAGA